UACGGGAGGCAGCAGUAAGGAAUUUUUGGCAAUGGAGGAAACUCUGACCGAGCGACGCCGCGUGAACAAUGAAGUACUUCGGUAUGUAAAGUUCUUUUAUUGAAAAAGAAAAAAUAGUGGAAAAACUAUCUUGACAUUAUUCAAUGAAUAAGCCCCGGCUAAUUAUGUGCCAGCAGCCGCGGUAAUACAUAAGGGGCGAGCGUUAUCCGGAAUUAUUGGGCGUAAAGGGUGCGUAGGCGGUUUGAUAAGUCUAUAGUUUAAAUGCAGUGCUUAACGCUGUAGCGCUAUAGAAACUGUCUGACUAGAGUUAGAUAGAGGCAAGCGGAAUUCCAUGUGUAGCGGUAAAAUGCGUAAAUAUAUGGAGGAACACCAGAGGCGUAGGCGGCUUGCUGGGUCUUAACUGACGCUGAGGCACGAAAGCGUGGGGAGCAAACAGGAUUAGAUACCCUGGUAGUCCACGCCGUAAACGAUGAGUACUAAGUGUCGGGUUUCGACUCGGUACUGAAGUUAACACAUUAAGUACUCCGCCUGAGUAGUACGUACGCAAGUAUGAAACUUAAAGGAAUUGACGGGACCCCGCACAAGCGGUGGAUCAUGUUGUUUAAUUCGAAGAUACACGAAAAACCUUACCAGGUCUUGACAUAAUUUUGCGACAUUAUAGAAAUAUAAUGAAGGUUAUCAGAAUUACAGGUGGUGCAUGGUUGUCGUCAGCUCGUGUCGUGAGAUGUUAGGUUAAGUCCUAAAACGAGCGCAACCCUUGUCGUUAGUUGCGACCACGUAAUGGUGAGCACUUUAGCGAGACUGCCAAUGAAAAAUUGGAGGAAGGUGAGGA
Molecule: ribosomal RNA, 832 nt
Filed under: Brazilian Huanglongbing disease-associated phytoplasma
Lineage: Bacteria; Bacillati; Mycoplasmatota; Mollicutes; Acholeplasmatales; Acholeplasmataceae
Description: bacterial SSU rRNA
Rfam family: Bacterial small subunit ribosomal RNA
Source: RNAcentral